AUAUUUGACAAUGGUCGAAAGCCUGAUCCAGCCAUGCCGCGUAUGUGAAGAAGGUCAUCGGCUUGUAAAGCAAGUUACGUUAGAAGACAGGGUAUUCAGAUACUACCUUGCUGUUUUGCCGUUACCGACAGACUAAGCAACGUCUAACUUCGUAACAGCAGGCGCGGUAAUCCGAAGGGUGCAAGCGUUAAUCGGAAUUACUGGGCGUAAAGCGCGCGUAGGUGGUUUGUUAAGUUGGAAGUGAAAGCCCCGGGCUCAACCUGGGAACUGCUUUCAAAACUGGCAAGCUAGAGUAUGGCAGAGGGUGGUGGAGUUUCCUGUGUAGCGGUGAAAUGCGUAGAUAUAGGAAGGAACACCAGUGGCGAAGGCGACCACCUGGGCUAAUACUGACACUGAGGUGCGAAAGCGUGGGGAGCAAAC
RNAcentral lists this ribosomal RNA (420 nucleotides) under uncultured bacterium. RNAcentral describes it as "partial 16S ribosomal RNA". It matches the Rfam family "Bacterial small subunit ribosomal RNA", at positions 361 to 773 of the family's 1533-position model. The record is from RNAcentral.